RNAcentral lists this long non-coding RNA (1936 nucleotides) under Populus trichocarpa (black cottonwood). RNAcentral describes it as "long non-coding RNA (PTRI_LNC004154)". The record is from RNAcentral. Lineage: Eukaryota; Viridiplantae; Streptophyta; Magnoliopsida; Malpighiales; Salicaceae.
UUCCAGCAGAGUUAGCCACGAGGAGCACAAAUGGUGGUUGCUCAGAAGAACUACAGCGAGCAGCUGCCCUGUAUAAUCCACAACUCGAGAGCAUGAUAAAUGAUGUCAACAGAAAAAUCGGCAGCAAUGUCUUUAUCUCUGCAAAUACUCACCAAAUGCACACUGAUUUUGUCAGCAAUCCUCAAGCAUAUGGUGCGCAAUAGCUUCAGAUUAGACUCUCCACUUCAUUAUUAAGGAUCAUAAAUGCUUGUUGUGAUUUAUCAUGAAAAGCCCUUGUUUUGGUUAAUUUGGCAGGAUUUACUACAUCAAAGAUAGCAUGCUGUGGACAAGGAUCAUACAAUGGCCUAGGACUGUGUACAAUAUUGUCAAACUUGUGCCCUAACCGCGACGUCUAUGCAUUUUGGGAUCCAUUCCAUCCAUCAGAGAAGGCAAACAGAAUUAUAGUACAGCAGAUCAUGACAGGCUCCACCCAAUACAUGAAACCUAUGAACCUCAGCACAAUCAUGGCCUUGGAUUCUAGGUCCUGACGAUAAUUUUGUCAAGAAUCUACCUUCUUAAUCGCCAUAACUUAAUUCAACCCAGUUCCAUUUAUGUUCUUUCAGUUUUUUUUUGUUGCAUUUGUGUUUGCUAUCAUGGGAUUUUAUACCUAUGAGGCUUGAAUUAAAUUAUGUCUGUAAUGUAAGUUGAAAUUACAGCUAAACAGCUUCAUGAAUAAUUGAAAUUUUCUAUACAUUUUCGCACAUCCAUUGUGCUUGUGUUCAUCUCUCCGUGCAUAUUCUUUUUUAAAGUUUCCUCAUGCCGACUUUAGUACGCAUCGAGAGAAUUUCCUUCCUAGCAAUCUUAGGGUGGCUGUACAUACCACUAACAAAAGAUUAUUUUAUUACUGCUUUCCUUAAGAUUGUAACUCUUGAAUGAUAAUAGGGUCACUAAUCAGGCGAUCCUAUACCACCUACUUGAUCAGCAAACACAAGAAUAUAGAAGUUUGUACUGCUCAAUCAAGUUCAUUAAGUGCAGAUGCAGGAAAUUCAAAGAUUUAUUGGAAGGGCAAUUCAAGAUUAAAGUAUUUUUCUCACUAUGCUUAGCUUAGAGAGACAAAUUCCAGUUUCUUGUCUAAAAAACAAAGCAUAUCAAGACUGAAUUGAACAUGUUCAAGGACCACUGUUGUAAUUCAAGUACCAUGAUAAAUGUGUCUUAUGGUUUCAACUUUUUAUUCAUCAUAAUCUUUACAGAAACACAAAGUUUAACUUGAAGUUGUAGAAUCAGAAAGAAUAACCCUUUAGGCCAGUUUGCUAGCUCAUGUCCUUAGUCUUAAAUUAAGUAAUAUUCUAAGUUUUCAGUAGGAAGAAAUCCCAAGACCCAGAGCCAGAAUCAUUUUUUUUUCUUUUUUUAUCAUGGAUAAUCAAUUCUAUUUAGUAGUUUGGUAACAGCAUUGUUUCUAAAAAGGCUCAGGCAGUAAAGGGCAACAUUUUCUUCUAAGAACUACUACAAGUAACACCUAAGGCAUAAUAAACCAGUAGUUUUGAACCAAACUCUGAAUAGAACCAUGCAAGUGCUAUCGACUACCAGCUGAUUCGCAACUGCUAGAGUUGAUUCACCUCCUUGUGGAAUCGAUUUUCCAACACAUUGGACCACUGGCCGAUUCUCUAAUGGCCUCAACAUAGAUUGGAUUGGCCCAAAUCUAAUUUCAGGUAGAUUGUGGAUUCUUAAGUCAUGAUCAAACCUGGGAAAAGACGUAAACGAUCAUUGAUAUCUGUCUAUUUUCAUUGUUGCAGAGGCUGUAUGACCUCGGAGCAAGCCGGGUUCUUGUGACAGGUACUGGGCCACAGGAUUGUAUUCCAGCAGAAUUAGCCAUGAGGAACACAAAUGGUGGUUGCUCAUCUGAAUUGGAACGAGCUGCAUCCCUGUAGAGUCCAAAACUUGAAAGAAUGUAAUUGUA